This 450-nucleotide ribosomal RNA is filed under the name uncultured bacterium. RNAcentral describes it as "partial 16S ribosomal RNA". It matches the Rfam family "Bacterial small subunit ribosomal RNA", at positions 354 to 796 of the family's 1533-position model. The record is from RNAcentral.
GUGGGGAAUAUUGGACAAUGGGCGAAAGCCUGAUCCAGCCAUGCCGCGUGUGUGAAGAAGGUCUUCGGAUUGUAAAGCACUUUAAGUUGGGAGGAAGGGCAGUAAGUUAAUACCUUGCUGUUUUGACGUUACCGACAGAAUAAGCACCGGCUAACUUCGUGCCAGCAGCCGCGGUAAUACGAAGGGUGCAAGCGUUAAUCGGAAUUACUGGGCGUAAAGCGCGCGUAGGUGGUUUGGUAAGUUGGAGGUGAAAUCCCCGGGCUCAACCUGGGAACUGCCUCCAAAACUGCAUGACUAGAGUACGGUAGAGGGUAGUGGAAUUUCCUGUGUAGCGGUGAAAUGCGUAGAUAUAGGAAGGAACACCAGUGGCGAAGGCGACUACCUGGACUGAUACUGACACUGAGGUGCGAAAGCGUGGGGAGCAAACAGGAUUAGAAACCCCAGUAGUCC